CCUACGGGUGGCAGCAGUGGGGAAUAUUGCACAAUGGGGGCAACCCUGAUGCAGCAACGCCGCGUGAGUGAGGAAGUAUUUCGGUAUGUAAAGCUCUAUCAGCAGGGAAUAGAAAAGAAUGUACCUGAAAAAGAUCCCCCGCCUAACUACGUGCCAGCAGCCGCGGUAAUCCGUAGGGGGACAGCGUUAUCCGGAUUUACUGGGUGUAAGGGGAGCGUAGACGGAAAGGCAAGUCAGAAGUGAAAACCCAGGGCUCAACCAUGGGACUGCUUUUGAAACUGUCAAACUAGAGGACGGGAGAGGUAAGAGGAAUUCCUAGUGUAGCGGUGAAAUGCGUAGAUAUGAGGAGGAACACCAGUGGCGAAGGCGUCUUACUGGACCGAAACUGACGUUGAGGCUCGAAAGCGUGGGGAGCAAACAGGAUUAGAUACCCGAGUAGUC
RNAcentral lists this ribosomal RNA (441 nucleotides) under uncultured bacterium. Its description in RNAcentral is "partial 16S ribosomal RNA". It matches the Rfam family "Bacterial small subunit ribosomal RNA", at positions 338 to 795 of the family's 1533-position model. The record is from RNAcentral.